UUAGUGAGACUGAGGAACGAUGAGGACGAGAAAGAGAU
Molecule: small RNA, 38 nt
Filed under: Arabidopsis thaliana (thale cress)
Lineage: Eukaryota; Viridiplantae; Streptophyta; Magnoliopsida; Brassicales; Brassicaceae
Description: ATSL021980
Source: RNAcentral